GAUGAACGCUAGCGGCAGGCUUAAUACAUGCAAGUCGAGGGGCAGCAAUGUCACCGGCGCACGGGUGCGUAACGCGUAUGCAACCUACCUUAUACUGGGAGAUAGCCCGGAGAAAUUCGGAUUAAUACCCCAUAGUAUUAUUGGAUCGCAUGGUUUGAUAAUUAAAGGUUACGGUAUAAGAUGGGCAUGCGUCCCAUUAGCUAGAUGGUGAGGUAACGGCUCACCAUGGCGACGAUAGGUAGGGGCCUGAGAGGGUGGUCCCCCACACUGGUACUGAGACACGGACCAGACUCCUACGGGAGGCAGCAGUAGGGAAUAUUGGGCAAUGGAGGCAACUCUGACCCAGCCA
RNAcentral lists this ribosomal RNA (349 nucleotides) under uncultured bacterium. Its description in RNAcentral is "bacterial SSU rRNA". It matches the Rfam family "Bacterial small subunit ribosomal RNA", at positions 28 to 394 of the family's 1533-position model. The record is from RNAcentral.